RNAcentral lists this long non-coding RNA (1345 nucleotides) under Pan troglodytes (chimpanzee). RNAcentral describes it as "long non-coding RNA NONPTRT017361". The record is from RNAcentral. Lineage: Eukaryota; Metazoa; Chordata; Mammalia; Primates; Hominidae.
AGGAUCAGGGCUGAUGAAAGGAUGGAGCGAUGAAGGGCAGCCCUCCUGCUGCGGGUCGCCCUGCUGCUGCCCUGGGCCUGCAGCUCCUGGCACGUGGGUCUCCGGGAGUCCUUGUGGAUGUGCCUCUCCAGGGCCCUCCAUCCUCGGUGGGCAGGAUAAUCCCCUAGGGAGCUUGCUCUCAAGUUCUCAAUAGCAUACACACGGCUGCCACAAAUACACAGAAGUUUUGGGAAUUAGCUCUGUGAGACAGGCCUAUUUCAGACAAGAAAAAUGAGGAUCAGAGAAGCUGAAAGUCUUGAGGAGGACACCCCAGCAAGGCGAAUUAGAGGCCCAGAAUUCUAACGAGGGCAUCCGGACUCUGGGAUUAGAACCGCCUUCUGCGUCCCAGGAAAAACCUCCUCUAGUCAUGCCCAGAUCUGCCUGGUCUAAAAACCACAAAAAUAGCAGGAGUUUCCACUGAGUCAAUGCUUGUCACGUCUAGAGACCUGGAUUGAGCUGUUUCCUUCCAUUCACAGAGCCGUCCUGCAGGAGAGAUGUUACUUUUACCAUCAAUGUAAAAACUGGGCCUUAAACUGCUUCAGAAACUGUUUAGAUUCAUUCAACUGAAUAUUCACACUGGAGUUUGAAUCAAGGCCUACGUGGCUUUAGAAAUUUAAGAUCCAAACCGUACCACUGUUGUACCUGACAUCCUUCGUGCACCUCCCUCAUCUUCAGAGAAACAAUUCUAAGUCUUCACUUUAAAGCAAGGUCGUGUGACUUUCCAAUGACUUCAGGGCAUUUGGUAAAGAACAGCUUGGUUCAAAGUAACUUGAUGAGCACAGCAAUUUCUUCAUAAUGGCAACCUGGUUAAAAAAAAUAAAAUAAACCCAUACCCGGCUUUGGGAAGGAAGUUGUUUGUUUUAAUGUUUUGUAUUUGGACUUGCAUCACAUAGAGUGGUGAUUUUUUUCAACAUUUUGUGUGUCACUUAACAUUUUUAAAAAUAAAGUCUUACAAGCUGUGAAACAAUGUGAACAUCCUGAUCCUAUCUCUGUAAAAUAUGAUGGGUGCACAAUGGCAGACGAGAGUGUGGAAAGUUACAUCUGACGGUGGCAACAGGAGCGGCCUCUGCAUGGGUGGAAUUAGAAGGAUUGUUGAUUUCAUUUAUUUAUUUGAAUAUACGAUAAAGAAAGUUCAAGUAGCACAGAUGGCUGCACAAUGAAGAGGAAUUUCACCUCUUACACUCAUUCUCAGUCCACUCGCCGAAGGCAAUUAUAUGGAUAUGUAUUCUUCCUGAAAUAUUCUUUUCAUACACAAUCGUGUAUAAAAUCGUGUAUGAAAAAAAGUCUGCUCAUCAUGUAGUGUGUG